UACGUAGGGUGCGAGUGUUGUCCGGAGUUAUUGGGCGUAAAGCGCGCGCAGGCGGUCCUUUAAGUCUGAUGUGAAAGCCCACGGCUCAACCGGGGAGGGUCAUUGGAAACUGGGAGACUUGAGUACAGAAGAGGAGAGCGGAAUUCCACGUGUAGCGGUGAAAUGCGUAGAUAUGUGGAGGAACACCAGUGGCGAAGGCGACUUUCUGGUCUGUAACUGACGCUGAGGCGCGAAAGCGUGGGGAGCAAACAGG
This 253-nucleotide unclassified non-coding RNA is filed under the name uncultured Bacillaceae bacterium. Its description in RNAcentral is "contains 16S-23S intergenic spacer region". It matches the Rfam family "Bacterial small subunit ribosomal RNA", at positions 524 to 776 of the family's 1533-position model. Lineage: Bacteria; Bacillati; Bacillota; Bacilli; Caryophanales; Bacillaceae. The record is from RNAcentral.